GAUGAACGCUAGCGGCAGGCUUAACACAUGCAAGUCGAGGGGUAUAGGUUUUCGGACCUAGAGACCGGCGCACGGGUGCGUAACGCGUAUGCAAUCUACCUUUUACAGAGGGAUAGCCCAGAGAAAUUUGGAUUAAUACCUCAUAGUAUUAUUGAAUGGCAUCAUUUAAUAAUUAAAGUCACAACGGUAAAAGAUGAGCAUGCGUCCCAUUAGCUUGUUGGUAAGGUAACGGCUUACCAAGGCAACGAUGGGUAGGGGUCCUGAGAGGGAGAUCCCCCACACUGGUACUGAGACACGGACCAGACUCCUACGGGAGGCAGCAGUGAGGAAUAUUGGUCAAUGGGCGCAAGCCUGAACCAGCCAUGCCGCGUGCAGGAUGACGGUCCUAUGGAUUGUAAACUGCUUUUGUACAGGAAGAAACAGUUCUACGUGUAGAACCUUGACGGUACUGUAAGAAUAAGGAUCGGCUAACUCCGUGC
RNAcentral lists this ribosomal RNA (479 nucleotides) under uncultured bacterium. RNAcentral's name for it is "bacterial SSU rRNA". It matches the Rfam family "Bacterial small subunit ribosomal RNA", at positions 28 to 508 of the family's 1533-position model. The record is from RNAcentral.